This 467-nucleotide long non-coding RNA is filed under the name Hordeum vulgare. Its description in RNAcentral is "long non-coding RNA (HVUL_LNC006771)". The record is from RNAcentral. Lineage: Eukaryota; Viridiplantae; Streptophyta; Magnoliopsida; Poales; Poaceae.
AAACCAUCCAUGGAGAUUCAACAAUCAAUCAUGUGACAAAAGGGAACUAUACAAACUUGACAUAGAUACAAUAGAUCAUUUGCAGAUAAUUUAUAACAUCAAACACCAUGUUUACAUAGGGGAUUACAGAGGUUUGUGGGAGAGUAGGCCGAUGUAGCUAUGAAGGAGAUGAUGAUGGAGGUGUUGGUGAAGGCGGCAUCAUGGCGGAGAGGAUGGAGAAAGGGCAGCACGUGAGGUGCACGGCGGCCGUCGGCAGCGCAGGGGGCUCCUCCUGCGCCGGCCGGCCAUCAUGGGGGAGCGCUGCCCCUUAGCCCCCUUCCUCCAUGGCUUAUUGGUGCUGUAGAUGAGCCCUCCCCCAUGGAGAUGAGGCCAUGGGGGAGGCAAAAUUCGUGGCUUUGGUGGCUGCCCAGAAAUCAGAGUUUUCCUCACCUUAUAUGAGCUGGGACGAUCAUCCUUGGCCCUCCGAU